UCUUGCACAAUGGGGGAAACCCUGAUGCAGCGACGCCGCGUGAGCGAUGAAGCCCUUCGGGGUGUAAAGCUCUUUCGGCAGGGACGAUCAUGACGGUACCUGCAGAAGAAGCUGCGGCUAACUACGUGCCAGCAGCCGCGGUAAUACGUAGGCAGCGAGCGUUGUUCGGAAUUACUGGGCGUAAAGCGUGCGUAGGCGGUUGGCUAAGUUCGGUGUGAAAUCUCCCGGCUCAACUGGGAGGGUGCGCCGAAAACUGGCCGGCUAGAGUGCGGGAGAGGGAAGUGGAAUUCCUGGUGUAGCGGUGAAAUGCGUAGAUAUCAGGAGGAACACCGGUGGGAAGACGGCUUCCUGGACCGGACUGACGCUGAGGCACGA
This 375-nucleotide ribosomal RNA is filed under the name uncultured bacterium. RNAcentral describes it as "bacterial SSU rRNA". It matches the Rfam family "Bacterial small subunit ribosomal RNA", at positions 362 to 756 of the family's 1533-position model. The record is from RNAcentral.